UCCACCACCACCGGUGAGUUACCUACCUCCCUCCACCACCGGUGAGUUACCUACCUCCAUCCACCACCACCGGUGAGUUACCUACCUACCUCCAUCCACCACCACCGGUGAGUUACCUACCUCCAUCCACCACCACCGGUGAGUUACCUACCUCCCUCCACCACCACCGGUGAGUUACCUACCUCCCUCCACCACUGGUGAGUUACCUACCUCCCUCCACCACCGGUGAGCCACCUCACAUGAACCACACAGGGAGCUCAGUACAGGCCAUAUCAAUGAAGCCGUAACAUGUCCUCUCUCCUCUCGUUCUUCAGAGUCAGAGAGCCGUAACCCAGGGUUUUCCUUGAUGCUGCUGGAGCUUGAGCUGGAGGUGGAGAUGGUGAGGACCAAGGCCCUGGCAACCUGCCAGCAGCAGGCAGUGUGUGUGUGACAAGGCUGGUCAGAGAGGUCAAGACCCUUAGAGAACAGUUGGAGCUACAGAGAAGUGGACACCCUAAACAAUGAGUUGGACAAGGAGAGAGAGCGACGGCACAGAGUAGGUCUGUUUCACAUUUGUUUCUUGGCCACAGUAGUGUGUGUCUGUCAGCGUCAGGCCCUACUUACGGUAGUUGUGAUCAGACUUAUCCACAAUGCUGUAUAGAAUUAUAAGGUAUUCAUUCAUGUGUUCUGUUUAUGUGUAUAGAACAGCAGUUGUUGGAGUAUAAACUAAGGAAGACACGACAGCUCCUAGAGAGGCAGGUGAUUUGCGACUCAGAUGAUUCUGACCAGAAUGACCCAGAAUCUCCCUGUGAACCUAUCAGCUCACAUCCCAGUCCUUUAGGCCUGUCAUUGGAUGCAGAGAUGUAGGAGAUAGAAGCUGUAAAUGGAGUCAAGCCUCAGAAGAUUCUGGUACAAUAUUUACAGAACAACGUUAUUGAAAUAUUACUUUCUAUUUUGGACAAAGGGCUCAUAACUAGUUUUAAAAUGUAAAUAUUUUUUUGCAGGAAACGAGCACUAUUAAUGAUACUUCAAGGCUACACAGGGCGCUUGUGUGUACAUAUGUGUGUGUGUGUGUGUGUGUGUGUGUGUGUGUGUGUGUGUGUGCCUGUGU
Long non-coding RNA from Oncorhynchus tshawytscha (Chinook salmon), 1090 nucleotides. RefSeq lists it as uncharacterized. The transcript has 4 exons. Lineage: Eukaryota; Metazoa; Chordata; Actinopteri; Salmoniformes; Salmonidae. The record is from RefSeq and is a predicted model, not a curated record.